AGCCAAUCAGUCUUAGCUCAUCCUCCAGAGUCCCCUCCCCUCUGAGGUCCUCACUCACCUGGCACGGUGAUGCCCAGGAGGGCCAGCAGCAGGAAAGGGCUCAUGAUCAGGGCAGCUGGAACCCGCACUCCUGCUCUCUCCUCCUUUUUAUAUCUCGCCUCACUCAAGGCAGUCCAGGAAAGGGGUGGGGAGGGGAGGGACUUGCUAAAUGGGGCGUGGGCCUCUGUCUGAGUCUCAACACCUUAAAGGCAGCAGGGGUGGGGAAGGGUGGGGGCUGGAGGGUUGGCGAGUGAGGUCGAGGGGGAGUCUGCAUCCUCCCUCCUUCCCCAGACCCAGGAGUCUGGGCCCCCAGUCCCUCCACAGUUAGAGAUGGAGGCAUCCUGGCUCCUAGACCUCACCAGUCCAGGUCCCCAGCCCUCUUUCCUCCAGAGCCCAGCUGUGGGGGUCCCCACCCACAUCCUGUUUCAGGACAGUUUGUGAAGGCGGUUUCCUCAUCUCAUAGCACCUUGGCCACCUUCUGGCCCCAAGUGAGGAAAUGGCCCAAGUGCCCAUGAAGACACUGUGAGGCCCAGUGGCACAGCCCUCCAUCUGAACCAGCAAUACUACAAUCACAGAACAUAAGGACCCUGCCGUCCUGACCUGCCUCUCAAAUGACGCUGGGAUCUCCAUAUGCUGGUUCUUCAAUGGCUAGAGUCUACUGCUCACAGAGAGGAUGAAGCUGUCCCUGGACAACAGCAACCUCUCCAUAGACUCCGUCAGGAGGGAGGAUGCUGGGGAUUAUCAGUGUGAGGUCUCCAACCAGGGCAAUUCCAGCAGAAGUGACCCCCUCAGGCUGGAUGUGAAAUGUAAGUGACCACUCGCCCCAUGCUACAUCUUCCCGGGAGGAUUACUCUACAAACAGUGUGCAAAAUGGAUAGAGGUCACAGGGGGCAAAACAGCAGUUAAGAGACCAUUAUAGUAAACAGAUGGCAAAAUCUUAAUAGCACCAUCUCUGGAAAAAAUACAAUUAGUUUCUAAUCCUGGGUCUGGCAUUUACUCUGUGACCUUGUACAACAUUUUUUUUUUCUGGCACACUUUCUUUAUAUGGUAAAAAUUAAAAGUAUGUAAGAUUUACCAUUUAAAUGAUUUUUAAGUUUAUAGCUCAGUGGCAUCAAGUACAUUCACAUUGGUUUGCAAUCAUUACCCAUAUACAUCCACUACAUUUUGGUUAGUAUUGUCAUCUGAAAAUAUUAUCUUCCAGUCCAUGAACACAGAAUGUCUUUCCAUUUAUUUAUGUCUUUAAUUUCUCUUACUAUGUUUUCUCCUUUUUGAACAAUUGUUUUUCAGUUUUUCUGUGUACAAGUCUGUCACUUACCUAGUUAAGUUAAUUCCUAAAGGUUUUAUUCUGAUUGAUGCUGUUAUAAAUGGAAUUUUUAAAGUUUCCUUUUCAUACUGUUCACUUUUCAUGUAUAGAAAAUACAACUGUAUUUAUGUGUUGGUUUAGUAUCCUGCAGCUUUGCCAAAUUUGCUUAUUAGCCCUAACAGUUUUUUGUGACAUUUUUAGGGUUUUCUAUAUAAGGUCACAUCAUCUGCAAACAAUUAAUUUUGCUUCUUCAUUUACAAUUUCGAUGUCUUUUAUUUCUUCUUCUUCUUUUUUUUUGCCUACUUGGUCUGACUAUUACUUUCUUUUUUUUUUUUUUUUUUUUUUGCGGUACACGGGCCUCUCACCGUUGUGGCCUCUCCCUCUGCAGAGCAGAGGCUCCGGACGCGCAGGCUCAGCGGCCAUGGCUCACGGGCCCAGCCACUCCGCGGUAUGUGGGAUCUUCCCGGACCGGGGCACGAACCUGUGUCCCUUUCAUCAGCAGGCGGACUCUCAACCACUGCGCCACCAGGGAAGCCCUGACUAUUACUUUCAAUACUAUUUUGAAGAGAAGUGGCAAAAGCAGGCAUCCUUAUCUUGUUCUUGACCUUAGCGGAAAAACUUUCAGGCUUUCACAUUUAGAAUGAUGUUAGAUAUGGGUUUUAAUAUAUGGCCUCUAUUAUGUGGAGGUAAUUUCCUUCUAUUCUGAGUUAGAGUGUGAUGAAAGGAUUUUGAAUUUUGUCUAAUGCUUAAACUGAUUUAAUCUCCUUCUUAGUUAUAGGUCUAUCAUAUUUUCUAUGUCUUUGUGAUUCCACCUUGGUAGCUUUUGAGUUUCUAGGAAUUUGUCUAAUUCAUCGAAGUUAUGCAACUUGUUGGCAUAUAAUUAUUCAUAAUACUCUUGUAAUUCUUAUUAUUUCUUGAGAAUUGGUAGUUAUGUUCCCACUUUCAUUUCUGAUUCAAUCUGAAUCUUCCCUUUUUUUCUUGAGCAUUCUAGUUAAAGGUUUGUCAAUUCUGUUAAUCUUUUUUGAAGAACCAAUUUUUGUUUUUAUCGAUUUUCUCUAUUAUCUUUCUAUUCUCUGUUUAUCUCCACUCUAAUUGUUAUUAUUUCCUUCCUUCUGCUAGCUCACGGUUUGGUUUAUUCUUCUUUUGCUAGUUCCUUAAGUUGUAAAGUUCGGUUGCUGAUUUGAGAUCUUUCUUUUUUUUUCAAUGUAAGCGUUAACAGUUAUAAACUUCCUGCACAAGAUUAUUAACUACUCUGAGCCUCAGAUUCCUCAACUGAAAAUUGCAGUAAAAGCACCUGCUUCAUGGCAUUAUUUCAAAGAUUUAAUGUACUAUUAAAUUAAACUCUUGGUAAAAUGCCACACACAGAGGAAAAUGUUCCAUAACUGUUAGAUGCUAUUACUACUACUAUUACCAUUAGGCUCUAUAAAAUCAGGUACUCCUACAGUCAAGGACUACCUGACUCUAGAUCCACCUGUUAGCUGUAUGACAAUGGGCACGUUUUUUCACCACUGGAAGCCUCAAGUGUUUCACCUAUGAAAUGGAAAUAAUGUCGAUCUGGCAGGGUUACAUGAAUCAAAUGAGAUAUAUGUAAAGUAUAUAGCCCACGCGCCUAGAGCCCAUGCUCUGCAACAAGAGAAGCCACCGCAGUGAGAAGCCUGUGCACCACAACGAAGAGUAGCCCCCGCUCACUGCAGCUACAGAACGCCCGCGCGCAGCAACGAAGACCCAACACAGCCAAAAAUAGAAUAAAUAAAUUAAUUUUUUUAAAUGGAUAACCAACAAGAACCUACUGUAUAGCACAGGGAACUCUGCUCAAUGUCAUGUGGCAGGCUGGAUGGGAGAGGAGUUUCGGGGAGAAUGAAUACAUGUAUAUGUAUGGCUGAGCCCCUUUCCUGUUCACCUGAAACUAUCACAAAUUUUUAAUUGGCUAUACUCCAAUAUAAAACAAAACGUUUUAAAAAAAAGAAAAUUUAUUCCUUGAAGGAACAAGUAGAGACUUGUUGUUUUGCAGAGCACCUCCCACUGUAAAAUAAUGUCACCUUCAUUGACUCUUCGUUUUUCUUUCGAUGACAGUUGAUUCAACACAAGGAAGUUCUUCUGGCCUCUCAGGUGGUGCUAUUGCCGGCAUCGUGAUUGGAGUCCUGGCUGGCGUAGCUCUGAGAGCACCCCUGGUGUAUUUCCCGUAUAUGAGAUAGACUGAAGGGUAUGAUGCCUUUCCUCUUGUUCUGCUUUCUCUGAGGCUAAUCGUCAUGCUCGGGAGAGGGAAGGAGACUUCAUCUCUGUCUCUGGACCUGGAUCUGCUCCUUAUGCUUCCUAAAGCCCUGCUUCUUGGCACUAAUUCUGAUGGGUCUCUUCUUCCCUGGUCUUCAUGCUUCCUGUGCCCUACUCUGUCUUGGGCAUAGUUAUUCCCAACCCCACCUGGUUUAGAGGGAGCAGAACCAAUUAUGUCCCUCUGUCCCCAGUCAGGGAAGCCAAGGUCCAAGAAGGAAAACUAAUGAGGAAAUGAAAGAAGCAGGAGGAAGGGGGUCCUGCGCUCUGUCGACAACAGUAGCAGGAGGAGGGGACAGGACAGGAAGAGAACCUAAGAAAAGCAGAAACAACCAAAGGCCUCCUGGGCAAUAAAUAAAGUGACAAAGAAACAGCAUCUACCUACAAAAGGGGAAAGGUGUCAGGGUAGAAAUAAGCUCAGAAGCAGUUGGCAUGAAUGGCCCCAAAUGUGAACAGCCAGUAAGCAGGAGAGGAGUAAACACCAGAAGGGAUGAUGGGUAGAUUGAAGGAGGAGGUCCUCAGAGGAAAGAGGACCAACCAAGGUAUAAAUGAACACUGAGGAGCCCCAAGGAGUCAUGCUGACAGGGUCCUUCCUAAUUCAAGGAGCAAAGGUCCUGUGCCUGGGAAUAGCAGUUACAGUGUCUGAUAUUUAUUUAGGGCAAGUGACCAGCGCGAUCUCACAGAGCACAAAUCCUCAGACCACAACCAGAGUAAGUAAACCUGCUCACCUAGUGAGAGCUCGUAUGUUCUACUAUAUACCCUGCCCUACCAGGGAAUCCCGGAUUUCCAAGUGAAUCCCUACCUUCUGAAUUAUUAGAGGGGAUCUCAGUUUCCCAAGCUUAAACUGGCAUAGGUCCUCACGCCCUUCCUAGCCAUGUAAGAUUCCUCUGAGACACAGCUGGGGGAGAGACACUCGCCCCUCCUAGGCCAGGCAAGCCAAGCAGGCCAUGAGAUGGACAUGUUUCCAGGAGCCUUUUCCUCAUCCUACCUCCUUCCCCCUCCUGCCUCUAUUACGGAUGCGGGCAUCUCCUUUGGUGAGACUUUCCCUGCCUUUGGUGCUCUGGGUACUGUGGGCCUCAAUGCCCCUCCCUGCCGCUGCAGCCUGCUGCAGAGACACACACCUGGGCAAAACUCAUGCCUUGUGAACUGGAAGAAAUCUUCGGAAGUGCACUGAGGCCUCUCCCCGCCCCUCCUUGGUCUCAUGCCCUGGGGUCUGGACCGCAGACUGAGGGAAGUGAAUUCCUUAAGUCUUAAUCAUGGGCCACCCCCCCACCCCACCCUCUCACCACCUGCCCCCUCCUUCAGCUAGAAGCACAACAGCUUCGGAACACCACGUUCUGAGGCCAUAAGUCAGCUCUGCAUUUUCAUGGGUUGGUAACUUCUUUUGCUUCCCCAGGUCAGGGCUAAAAUUCACCCAACAAGCCAGUUUCAUUGGCUCUUUUUCUCAUGAAAAUAUCUCUGUGUAGAAUGGGUUAUUCUUGAAGACACAAAUGGGAGAUCAAGUUUGGAUCAAAGUUCCUUACUGCAACAACAAACAAAGAAGUAUUGGUUAAUCACUCCCAUGGGUCUAAUUCAUGCAAGAAUGUUGACUUUAGAAUUUUUCCCAUCCUGUAUUUCAAUCCUGGCUGUGACCUUGAGCAAGUAACUUAACCUCGUUGAUCCUCAGCUUUGCCCUCUGUAAAAUGGGCAUGCUGCCUACUUCAAAGAGAAGGUCAAGGAAUUAAAUGACAGAAAUGUAAAGCCCUCAUCACAAUGCCCAGCUCGAGAAAGGCACUAUUUCAUUCUCCUUCCUCUGCCUCCUAUCUGAUCCUGCCCUUACUGUCAAAUGAUCAUUUCCAUUCUAAUGGGUCUGAGGCCUUAGUUCCUUUACUGUCUAUUAAUAAAUUUUACUGAAUAUUCUCAUCUUAACCUUCAAUAGAAUAUACAUACAUACUGAAAAGUGCUUAAAUCAUAUUUUAACAAUCUGAACAACCCAUGUAAGUAGCACCCAAAUCGAUAAAUAAAACAUGUCAUUCCCCCCCGCCAAAAAAAGACCUCCAGUUACUUCCCUUCAAAGAGUAACCACUAUCCUCACUUCCAAUGCACUGGACUAGUUUGCCUGAUUACGCUCUUACAUAAAGGAAAAACACAGUAUGUCCUUACAUGUAUCUGGCUUCUUUCAUUCAAAAUUGUUUUGUAAGAUUCAUCCAUCUCAUUUUAUGCCCUUGUGCUUAAGUUAUUCUCAUUGCUGUAUCAUUGUAUUUCACUGUAGCAUUCCAUAAUCUCUCUCUCCGAAUGAUCAUUCAACAGGAUGUUAGUAAGCAGAGAAAAUGGGUAAUAAAAGCCCUUCUCUGAAGCUAAAAGUUUCAAAGUGGUGAAAGCAUGUGGUGCUGAAUCACACUGGACAAGGUGAGGGCCUGGCCUACGACACUGAUUUAAUUGACUGCUGUUCAUUCCUUUCAGAUUGACGAAGGUGCAUAUUCUGCCCUGAACUUCAAUGCCCAGGAAUCAAAGAAACCAACUUCAGCCUCCCAUCCCCAACAGCCACAGAAGUGGUUUAUUGAGAAGUUAAAAAAAAAAAAAAGAAGAAGAAGUAGUGUUCCCUGCAUUACUGACUUAUUCCAAGUUUCUCAUCCCCAUCGCUAGGAGAUUCUUUCACCCUUAGGGAAAGUAGGAAGUGUGUCUUCCGCCCUGCACCUCCCUAAUGACGCACAUCCUGGCUGCCAGGUCACAGCCCCUUCCUUCAGUGUCAGUAGAUGAAAAGGUACAUCCAAGAGGAGGUCUGGAGGAAACCCAACCUUCCUUGUCAUUGAACUUUGGCAAAGCAGACCUUGGGAGAGAGUUGCCAGAACGUCCACCCCUCCCAUUUGCUGACCUAGACCAGUUUUAUUUAUUUAUUAUAAAUUUAUUUAUUUGUUUGUUUUUUAUUUUUGGCUGUGUUGGGUCUUCGUUGCUGCGCGCGGGCUUUCUCUAGUUGCGGCGAGCGGGGGCUACUCUUCUCGUUGUGGUGCACGGGCUUCUCACUGCGGUGGCUUCUCUUGUUGCGGAGCACGGGCUCUAGGUGUCGCAAGCUCAGUAGUUGUGGCUCACGGGCUUAGUUGCUCCGCCUCAUGUGGGAUCUUCCCAGGGAUUGAACCCGUGUCCCCUGCAUUGGCAGGCGGAUUCUUAAGCACUAUGCCGCUAGGGAAGCCCUAGACCAGUUUUAAACUUGCGUAUUCAGAGCACACUCAUUCCUUCCCACCUCAGUCCUGUCCUAUUGGAGUCUAACUUGAAUUUGCCAUAACCUUGAGAGUUAUGUCCUUAUGCACUGAAAUGCAUGUGCCAGAAAAGAAGAGAGAGAAACAGGAAAAGGAAAAGCUCCUCCUAGCUCUUCAAAGUCCAGUAUAAAUCCACAGGAAAAUACAUAUAUAACCAAUUUAGGACUGCAAAUUCUACACCUUUGUCUACCGUCAGGAUUGUCCACCUACAGGAUCAGGGCCUAAACACCUUGCUGCUUACCUAGAACACCACCUAGGCCCUUUGGAAAACUCUUCUUCAGAGAACCUACUAGAAGAAACUAAAAAACUACUUGUCUAGGUCCAUAAGUAAUUCCUAAUAAAAAAUGCAAAAAAUGCAGGCACGUUUAAAUAACUUUAUGGGCUUUACUCCAGGAAGUGCCCACAGAGGAAGGGGUUAUUGCUUUAGGGGGCAGUUGGCUCUUAACACAUACAAUCUGCUGGGACUUGGGAAAGGAAUCAGAAAGCUACCCUUCAGAGAUGAUCUAAAUAAUUGCUAAAGAAUGCACAGUUUGUGGUACUGAGUUUUUCCCCUUCCUUCUGAGACAUUCUGCAAUUUUAAUUGUUGUAACUCCUUUCUAUGUGAAAGGGGUUGUUUACUUAAUUUGCUGGUAAGCCAAUCUGACUGCCUUAGGUGAAAGACGCCACCAAAACCCCUCAAGUCCCUCUGGCCAGAAGCUCCUCAAGCCUUUUAUGUCAGGGGCUCCACAUAGAAAAUAAGAAGAAGCAGUUUUCUACAUUCAUGGCCAGAAAGGGAUCUCGCUCAGUUUCUAGGCACCUCAGACCAACCAUCAGCACCAUUCUAUUCCACGUUUCUGCCUGUGCACGUUCCAUCUGCCCCACUCACCUUCUCAGGAAACCUUGGCCUCUGCUAAGGUGUGUUUGGUUCUUGAGAAGCAGGAGCACCUGAAGGGGACACGACCACCCAUGCAGCUGGCCUCGUUUACAACCUAGAAAGCUGCACUGGUGCUGAUGCUCCUUAGGACACAAGGGGAGGAUUAUAGCUCAGCUCUGGGCUUCGUGAAAGCCUCUGAAAUUUGUUUUCUCCCAUGGGGUCUAUGAGACCCAAUGUGUCAGCAUAAAAAGGACGGGCAGGAGAAGGAGAGGCACGUCUACUUCCCACCCAGCCUCCUUCUGCAUGGAUGGAACCUCCUUGAGGCUGUUGAGAGAAAGGUUUUAUUCCAUAUUCAUUACUUGAUCUAAUGCUGUGUGGAACUGGCCCCCUCAAAGAGGGUUGGUUGGGAAUUCUCUGUACUCAGGUACCCCUUUCAGGGUUUUUUAACCCUGACACAGACUGUAUAUACCUCCCCUCAUCCACGCUAUUCUGUGUAAUUUAAUUUUGCCUGGCUAAGGCCGCUUCUGAAUUAUUUGUAAAAUUUGCUCUAUAUUUAUUAAAAAAAUUAUAUA
Molecule: long non-coding RNA, 8271 nt
Organism: Orcinus orca (killer whale)
Lineage: Eukaryota; Metazoa; Chordata; Mammalia; Artiodactyla; Delphinidae
Exons: 3
Source: RefSeq, a predicted model, not a curated record